CGGACGGGUGAGUAACGCGUGAGAAUCUGCCCUCAGGAGGGGGAUAACAGUUUGAAACGACUGCUAAUACCCCACAUGCCGAAAGGUGAAACGAAUUUCGCCUGGGGAUGAGCUCGCGUCUGAUUAGCUUGUUGGUGGGGUAAAGGCCUACCAAGGCUUUGAUCAGUAGCUGGUCUGAGAGGACGAUCAGCCACACUGGGACUGAGACACGGCCCAGACUCCUACGGGAGGCAGCAGUGGGGAAUUUUCCGCAAUGGGCGAAAGCCUGACGGAGCAACGCCGCGUGAGGGAUGAAGGCCUUUGGGCUGUAAACCUCUUUUCUCAAGGAAGAAGAUCUGACGGUACUUGAGGAAUAAGCCACGGCUAAUUCCGUGCCAGCAGCCGCGGUAAUACGGGAGUGGCAAGCGUUAUCCGGAAUUAUUGGGCGUAAAGCGUCCGCAGGCGGCCGUCUAAGUCUGUCGUUAAAUCGUGGAGCUUAACUCCAUCACGGCAAUGGAAACUGUUCGGCUUGAGUGUGGUAGGGGCAGAGGGAAUUUCCGGUGUAGCGGUGAAACGCGUAGAUAUCGGGAAGAACACCAGUGGCGAAAGCGCUCUGCUAGGCCAUUACUGACGCUCAUGGACGAAAGCCAGGGGAGCGAAUGGGAUUAGAUACCCCAGUAGUC
RNAcentral lists this ribosomal RNA (662 nucleotides) under uncultured bacterium. RNAcentral describes it as "bacterial SSU rRNA". It matches the Rfam family "Bacterial small subunit ribosomal RNA", at positions 99 to 795 of the family's 1533-position model. The record is from RNAcentral.